UGUUAUUAGAAUUUAUUAAUAAUAAAAUCUGCUCAAUGAAAAUUAAAUAGCCGCUGAUGUGCUAAGGUAGUAUAAUUAUUUGUCUUUUAAUUUAAGACCAAACAAAAGAUUUAACAUUUAAAUAAAUUUAUAUAAUUUAUUAAUUUAAAUUAUUUUUAAUGUAAAAAAACAUUAAUAUAUAAAAUAGACGAUAAGACCCUAUCGAACUUUACUUUAGUUUAACUGGGGUAGUUAAUUAAUUAUAAUUUUAAAUUAAUAUAAUCUUAAAAUGACCUAAUACAAUUAAUUAUAUGAUCAAGUUACCGUAGGGAUAACAGUGUAAUAUUAUUUUUAAGAUCUAAUUUAAAAUAAUGAUUACAACCUCGAUGUUGACUAAUAUCCUAAUUAGCGCAAUAGCUAUUUUCGGAAGUCUGUUCGACUUUUAAAUAAUUACA
This 434-nucleotide ribosomal RNA is filed under the name Synstrophius sp. MR454. RNAcentral describes it as "partial 16S ribosomal RNA". The record is from RNAcentral. Lineage: Eukaryota; Metazoa; Arthropoda; Arachnida; Araneae; Thomisidae.